GAUGAACGCUGGCGGCGUGCCUAAUACAUGCAAGUCGAGCGAACGGACGAGAAGCUUGCUUCUCUGAUGUUAGCGGCGGACGGGUGAGUAACACGUGGAUAACCUACCUAUAAGACUGGGAUAACUUCGGGAAACCGGAGCUAAUACCGGAUGAUAUUUUGAACCGCAUGGUUCAAAAGUGAAAGACGGUCUUGCUGUCACUUAUAGAUGGAUCCGCGCUGCAUUAGCUAGUUGGUAAGGUAACGGCUUACCAAGGCAACGAUGCAUAGCCGACCUGUGAGGGUGAUCGCCACACUGGAACUGAGACACGGUCCAGACUCCUACGGGAGGCAGCAGUAGGGAAUCUUCCGCAAUGGGCGAAAGCCUGACGGAGCAACGCCGCGUGAGUGAUGAAGGUCUUCGGAUCGUAAAACUCUGUUAUUAGGGAAGAACAUAUGUGUAAGUAACUGUGCACAUCUUGACGGUACCUAAUCAGAAAGCCACGGCUAACUACGUG
Molecule: ribosomal RNA, 496 nt
Filed under: uncultured bacterium
Lineage: Bacteria
Description: partial 16S ribosomal RNA
Rfam family: Bacterial small subunit ribosomal RNA
Source: RNAcentral